GGCAGAAACCUGGGAAUUCAACCUGGAAGACUAGUGAAUAGUCCUGGACUCCAAUGCCUCCAUUUUACAAAUGGAGAAAUUGAGGCCCAGGGAGGGAAGGUGACCUGCACAGAGUCAUCUAGAAAAGUGGGAGCUGAAUCUAGGCCAGCUUCUCGAACCCACUCCACGGAGUCCAGAGUGUGGGGCCGCCUCCCAUAUUCGCCAGGCCAUACACGGGGGCCCUGGUGGCCUGGCUGGUGUUGGUGCGGACCAGAGGAGGAAAAACCACAGAACAAAACACAGGCAGAGACCCUACAAGCUACUCACAGACUGGUUUCAUCAAAAGAUCAUUUGAAUGCUGAGCAACUUCCAUAAAACAACUUCUGAAUCCUGGCGGAGGACAUCAGGCACCCAGAAAGGCAGCCCAUUCUCUUCGAAAGGAGGUAAGACAAAAUAUAAAAGACAAAAGAGAGAUAAGAGUUAAGGACAGAGACCUGUUCUGGGGAGGGAGUCGUGAAGGAGGAGAAGUUUCCACACAGUAGGAAGUGCUCUCACAGGUCGGUCUGUGGGGAGUUUUAGAAUCUCAGAAGACAACAUAACUGGGAGAAAGAAAAAGAAAAAUCAACAGAAUACACACCUAACCACUACUGCAGAAAAGAGAACUUUCCCGCCAAAGUCUCUAACCUAACGACCUAACGGGCCACCUGGCCCACUCAUAGAACAAAGGAUUGAGCACAUACCGAAGAAGAGCCAGCCACUGCGAACCAGCUCCUCGCCACCCAGAGGCAGACUUACCACAGCCGGAGCCGGAAGGCAAGGGGCUGCCGCGUCUUCCACCAAACCGUGAGCAGGCUCCCAGCUGC
Cervus elaphus (red deer) is the source of this 842-nucleotide long non-coding RNA. RefSeq lists it as uncharacterized. The transcript has 3 exons. Lineage: Eukaryota; Metazoa; Chordata; Mammalia; Artiodactyla; Cervidae. The record is from RefSeq and is a predicted model, not a curated record.